CCCGAGCUCCAGACCCUUCUUCCCAGCGCGGCGCGACGGCCCCAAGUGGAUGGGCUGUCUCUGGUGAACACGUCCAACUCCAGAGGCUGUGACUCUGGGGACCUUCGUGACCCCAAGACAGGGUCACACACCCGUGGCAUUUGGUCGCCAAAUUCCAGACAAGGACCCCCAUUCAACCGACUGGCUCCAAGCUGAGCCUUGGAGAGGUGGCUGGGGACAGGAGGAAAAGACGGAGCCCCCCCACGCAUUGCCAGGAUUUCUCUUUCCGUAUCCCAGCCUCCCUGCUCCCUGGGGCACACAGGUGGAUGGCGGAGGCAGCCAGUGAAGGCACCAACCGAGGGGCAGGUGAGGUCACUGGGGGCGGGGGAUGCGGGGGAGCAAGAAGGAGAAGCAGCUUUGCCUGAGGGGCCACAGCUAGGAGGACAGCCGGGAAGCCUUCUGGGCUGAGGCUUGUGAGAUGGCUGGAAGUUAGCCAGGAGGACAAGCGCUUCCAGGCAGAAGGAACAGCAUCUGCAAAGGCUCAGCGCAUGGCGCAACCUGGUGGGACUGGAGUCCCGCUGGUUCUUGAAACCCAGGGGCAUGAACACUAUCCUCUAGGCAUUGGAGAUGCAAAUGGCCUUAAGCAAAGGAGUGAGCCGGUACACACUACAGAAGGACGCGCGUAGCGUGGUCCUCUUAGAAGA
Molecule: long non-coding RNA, 683 nt
Filed under: Sus scrofa (pig)
Lineage: Eukaryota; Metazoa; Chordata; Mammalia; Artiodactyla; Suidae
Description: lncRNA (ENSSSCG00060023596.1)
Source: RNAcentral